This 475-nucleotide ribosomal RNA is filed under the name Paramesacanthion sp. RNAcentral describes it as "SSU rRNA". It matches the Rfam family "Eukaryotic small subunit ribosomal RNA", at positions 482 to 961 of the family's 1831-position model. Lineage: Eukaryota; Metazoa; Nematoda; Enoplea; Enoplida; Thoracostomopsidae. The record is from RNAcentral.
GAGACGGUUCUCUAAGAGGCCCGUCAUCGAAAUGGGUACAAUUUAAAUCCUUUAACGAGGAUCUAUUGGAGGGCAAGUCUGGUGCCAGCAGCCGCGGUAAUUCCAGCUCCAAAAGCGUAUAUUAAAGUUGUUGCGGUUAAAAAGCUCGUAGUUGGAUCUGCGCCUUAGGUUGGUGGUCCCCCAAAAGGGUGGUACUGCCGUACCUGGGCUAUUGGUCUGGUUUUCCCUUGGUGCGCUUCACCGUGUGCUCUGGGUGACUGGAACGUUUACUUUGAAAAAAUUAGAGUGCUCAAGGCAGGCAGUUUGCCUGAAUAGUGGUGCAUGGAAUAAUAGAAUAGGACUUCGGUUCUAUUUUGUUGGUUUUCGGAACUCGAGGUAAUGAUUAAGAGGGACAGACGGGGGCAUUCGUAUUGCGACGUUAGAGGUGAAAUUCUUGGAUCGUCGCAAGACGCACAACUGCGAAAGCAUUUGCCAA